CGACCCGGCCAUAGCGGCCGGGUAACACCCGGACUCAUGUCGAACCCGGAAGUUAAGCCGGCCGCGUUGGGGGAUGCUGUGGGGUCCGCGAGGCCC
Molecule: ribosomal RNA, 96 nt
Filed under: Pyrodictium delaneyi
Lineage: Archaea; Thermoproteati; Thermoproteota; Thermoprotei; Desulfurococcales; Pyrodictiaceae
Source: RNAcentral